CUAUUACCAUCACCAUGCCUUAUUAGAGUGGGGACUAUCGGCGGUGGCUUGGGAAGUACCCAAAGUUUUAGGGGUUACAGCGAGGCCAAAAAGGCAGACAGAGGAAGCAGGUAGAGCUCUGAAAAGGUUCAGGGCCAGGGACCCACAGGGGGAGGCAGGAGUGGCAGGCACCACGAUCUGCUCUCUGGCGCUCUACAGGAAAGCACCGGGCGUCAAUGGCCUUGCGCGUCCCUUGCGCAGAGUGUGGUGCGAGGUUGGGGGGGUUACUGGGGAUCCAGGGGGCUAUCACCUUGGACACCUAUGGUGGGGGGAAGGCUGAGGAGUAAGAUAACUGGGCAGCUGGAAACUUACAGCUUUUCCCCUGCAGUGGAGGAAUGAGGAGUUUAAAGGCCACGUCCACACAGAGGGUGACAGAGGCAUCAUCUCCGCGCAGGACGCGGACUGGGGGCAGGCACGCAGGGCCACCUGGAUCCUGGAAGCGUCAAGAAGAACGCGGGCGUGCAGGCCGAGGAGGAAAUCACUGUGUUUUCGGCUCAGCAGUCUU
This 544-nucleotide small RNA is filed under the name Pongo abelii (Sumatran orangutan). RNAcentral describes it as "processed transcript". The record is from RNAcentral. Lineage: Eukaryota; Metazoa; Chordata; Mammalia; Primates; Hominidae.